RNAcentral lists this ribosomal RNA (329 nucleotides) under Escherichia coli. RNAcentral's name for it is "bacterial LSU rRNA". It matches the Rfam family "Bacterial large subunit ribosomal RNA", at positions 2067 to 2393 of the family's 2925-position model. The record is from RNAcentral. Lineage: Bacteria; Pseudomonadati; Pseudomonadota; Gammaproteobacteria; Enterobacterales; Enterobacteriaceae.
UGUACCCGCGGCAAGACGGAAAGACCCCGUGAACCUUUACUAUAGCUUGACACUGAACAUUGAGCCUUGAUGUGUAGGAUAGGUGGGAGGCUUUGAAGUGUGGACGCCAGUCUGCAUGGAGCCGACCUUGAAAUACCACCCUUUAAUGUUUGAUGUUCUAACGUGGACCCGUAAUCCGGGUUGCGGACAGUGUCUGGUGGGUAGUUUGACUGGGGCGGUCUCCUCCUAAAGAGUAACGGAGGAGCACGAAGGUUGGCUAAUCCUGGUCGGACAUCAGGAGGUUAGUGCAAUGGCAUAAGCCAGCUUGACUGCGAGCGUGACGGCGCGAG